Molecule: non-coding RNA, 268 nt
Organism: Danio rerio (zebrafish)
Lineage: Eukaryota; Metazoa; Chordata; Actinopteri; Cypriniformes; Danionidae
Source: RefSeq, a predicted model, not a curated record
ACAUGCACUAUAAGUAAUAUAUGUCUGUCCAUGACUUAAACCCACAGCUCAAGGUCUGACAGAGAGAGAUCUUCAUAUUCCAUUCCCGCAGAGUGUGUGUGUGAUCGUGCAAUAUCAACCCGACAUGAUUCUGGACAACAUCAGGAAAUCAGAUAUGGAUUGGAACUUGACCUAGAAUCUAAAAGGACAAACUCAGCUUUCUGGAAACCUUCAUCACCCGACUCAAACUGCAUCAAUGUGGUCAACUCCUUUCUGCGUCUCAAGUCCA